UCUUAAGUGAUAUAGGAUUGCAUAAUUUGAUAGCACUUCUGUAUCUAUUGGCAGACUGCCGUGCCUCAUUUGCACCUAAAAGAAUUGAAUGAAAAACCUGUCAAUGAGGGACAAAAGCAUUAGACUCCAGGGAGCAAAAACUAAUGUGUUGUGCGCAAAAUAGUAACAGAAUCCUGACGGUCAGUGCUCCCCCUCCACCAUAAGGUCAUAGCUGCAAGGAACAGUUUCUGUAUCAUGUGGGUAACCAGAAAGCUGAUGUCCCAUUAUGGUCAGUGAAUUCAAAACCAUUCAGUAAGUCAUGAUCUUUUGAGACUCAAGUAUACUAUGCAUUCC
RNAcentral lists this long non-coding RNA (333 nucleotides) under Anser brachyrhynchus (Pink-footed goose). RNAcentral's name for it is "lncRNA (ENSABRG00000007441.1)". Lineage: Eukaryota; Metazoa; Chordata; Aves; Anseriformes; Anatidae. The record is from RNAcentral.